This 741-nucleotide ribosomal RNA is filed under the name uncultured Candidatus Poseidoniales archaeon. Its description in RNAcentral is "bacterial SSU rRNA". It matches the Rfam family "Archaeal small subunit ribosomal RNA", at positions 102 to 857 of the family's 1478-position model. Lineage: Archaea; Methanobacteriati; Thermoplasmatota; Candidatus Poseidoniia; Candidatus Poseidoniales. The record is from RNAcentral.
GGAUAACCUGCCCUAUCGUCUGGAAUAACCUCGGGAAACUGAGAAUAAGGCCGGAUAGUUCACAAAGCCUGGAACGGUUUGUGAAUCAAGGUAGGAUGGGUCUGCGGCGUAUCAGGUAGUAGGGGGUGUAAAGGACCCCCUAGCCUUCGACGCGUACGGGUGUUGGGAGACAUAGCCCGGAGAUGGAUUCUGAGACACGAAUCCAGACCCUACGGGGUGCAGCAGGCGCGAAAACUUCACACUGCAGGAAACUGUGAUGAGGGAACUCCAAGUGUGUGCACUAUGUGUACACUUUUAUGAACUUUUAAUCGGUUCAGGAAUAAGGGCUGGGAAAGACCGGUGCCAGCCGCCGCGGUAAUACCGGCAGCUCAAGUGGUCGUCGCUUUUAUUGGGCCUAAAACGUCCGUAGCCUGUUUGGUAAAUCUGUGGAUAAAUCAACUCGCUCAACGAGUUGAAUUCUGCAGAGACUGCCAGACUAGGGACCGGGAGAGGUGUGGGGUACUCGAGGGGUAGGGGUAAAAUCCUGUCAUCCUUCGAGGACCACCAGUUGCGAAGGCGCCACACUGGAACGGAUCCGACGGUCAGGGACGAAGCCUAGGGGCACGAACCGGAUUAGAUACCCGGGUAGUCCUAGGUGUAAACGCUGUGAACUUGGUGUCGGGGGUCCGCAAGGGGUCCCCGGUGCCGGAGUGAAGAUGUUAAGUUCACUGCCUGGGGAGUACGGUCGCAAGGCUGAAACUU